Molecule: ribosomal RNA, 400 nt
Filed under: phytoplankton environmental sample
Lineage: Eukaryota
Description: partial small subunit ribosomal RNA
Rfam family: Eukaryotic small subunit ribosomal RNA
Source: RNAcentral
AGCUCCAAUAGCGUAUACUAAUGUUGUUGCAGUUAGAAAGCUCGUAGUUGGAUUUCUGGCUUCGGUGCGCCUGGCCCGAGGACCUGGUGUCCUUGUGAGCCGGUUUGCGCAUCGGCCAUCCUUCGGGAGAGUGUCUCUGCCCUUGAUUGGGUUGGAGGCAGGAUCCUGACCGUUUACUUUGAAAAAAUUAGAGUGUUCAAAGCAGGCCUUUUGUGCUGUGAAUACAUUAGCAUGGAAUAAUAAGAUAGGACUUCGGCCCUAUUUUGUUGGUUUCUGGGUUGCUGAGGUAAUGAUUGAUAGGGAUAGUUGGGGGUGCUCGUAUUCAACGGCCAGAGGUGAAAUUCUUGGAUUCGUUGAAGACGAACUUAUGCGAAAGCAUUCACCAAGGAUGUCUUCUUUA